CCCAUGUGCAAGUACAGUCCAGGCUAUCUUAGGGACUGCCCUCAACCCAAGGGGAAAUGAGAAAGGUUGGAUAAAUAUCUCUGAUUCCUAUCCUAUGGGAGAAUAUCUUUGAGAGCACCACCUGGGGGCUCAAAGGCUGGGUGAUGGAACCAUCUGAAGUCUUGCUUACUUGAUGUCUGUUAACUGAUGCUGGCUUCCAGCUAGGACCUUAGCUGAAGAUAUGUCUGGAAUGCUUACAUGUGGUCUUCUGUGUGACUGUUAAAUGUGGGAGAGUUAAAUGCCUUAGGAGCCAGAGGUAUGUAAUGAGGACAUCUAAGCAACUCGGUGGAAAAGCCCAUGUGGAGAGAAACUGAGGCCCCACAGCAACAAUCAAGUUGCCAGCCUUAUGAAGAAGCUACUUUGGAAGUAUAUAUGCCAGAUCUAGUCAAGUUUCACAUUUUGACAGAACCAGCAAACAUCUUGACAAUCUCAUGAGAGACCCCAAGCCAGAACAGCCAAGCUAAAUUACUCGUGAAUUCCUGACCCCC
Molecule: long non-coding RNA, 527 nt
Organism: Canis lupus familiaris (dog)
Lineage: Eukaryota; Metazoa; Chordata; Mammalia; Carnivora; Canidae
Exons: 3
Source: RefSeq, a predicted model, not a curated record